GUUUUGCAUAAGCCAUUCAUGUGUGAGAGCUUCAUAGAGCUGUAUGUAAGGAAGAAUUUUGUGUCUGAAACGUUGUCGCUGUGUGGCCGGGCUGUGCUGCUUCAGGUGCACCAGGUCCUAACCUGAGCUGUGUACGGGGUGGUGCUGGCAGGCUGUGUGUGCAGGCAGUGCCUCUCCCAGCCCUCGGAAAAGGAGUUCGGAGCAGGGCUCUUGCACGCUCAGGUCUCCUCAACAAGGAGCAGGUUUCUGUUCUUUGUAAGACCCCUGCCAGUCCCUGUGGUGGGACCUGGUGUAACAGCCACUCGCCUGCUCCCCGAGCCGUGGAGAGGGAGCCGGACUUAAUUGAGCUCUUUCUUUUUUCCAGGCAGAACUGCAGCAGGGGAUGCAGCCUGGGGAAGGGCGGCAAUGACCUCGAGGUGCCCUGGCGUGGCCACGUGCUUCUGCACCCUCGCUGCUCCUGUUGCCUCCUGACGAGCAGCCCCGUGCCAUCGCACCCACCUGCACGACCGGGCUGUGCUGGGCUGGGGGCAAGCAUGGACUGAAUGGACCUCACCUGAUGCAUCGCUGUUGCCUUUCACGGCCCCCAUCAACCCCUCUGGGGGCCUGGGGACACCGGUUCCGUGGGACGAGCGGGCGCGCGGUGGGCACGGAGCCCCGACGCCAGCUGGCACCGUGAUGCGGGGAUGUGCGGGGGCGCGGGGCACGGGUAGCACGCGGGGCAUGUACCGAGGGCACUGAAUAAAGCGCUGCUGAACGGACA
Molecule: long non-coding RNA, 760 nt
Filed under: Anas platyrhynchos platyrhynchos (common mallard)
Lineage: Eukaryota; Metazoa; Chordata; Aves; Anseriformes; Anatidae
Description: lncRNA (ENSAPLG00000022587.1)
Source: RNAcentral